Molecule: transfer-messenger RNA, 347 nt
Filed under: uncultured Oliverpabstia sp.
Lineage: Bacteria; Bacillati; Bacillota; Clostridia; Lachnospirales; Lachnospiraceae
Rfam family: transfer-messenger RNA
About the family: Bacterial tmRNA, also known as 10Sa RNA or SsrA, is named for its dual tRNA and mRNA-like properties. Its role is to liberate the mRNA from a stalled ribosome. To accomplish this part of the tmRNA is used as a reading frame that ends in a translation stop signal.
Source: RNAcentral
GGGCUUGUACUGGUUUCGACGGGGGUUUCGAAGUUUGGGAAGCCAUCCGCGGCUCUGGGACCGCGUCAAAAACCUGGAAAUUAAAUUUAAACGCAGACGAAAAUUUAGCGUUCGCUGCCUAAUGGUGGCUGUCGUUGCCUGAACCUCCCGCAGUUCAGACUUCGGCAUCAAAUCAAGCGGGGCACUUUUUUCUCAAAGCUUUGAGAGAAAGAAAGAUAUCAUGAAGCUACUGAGGACAGCAGCCUGUCAUCCGGCGGUUGUCUGAGGGAAUGUUAAAAGAAUGACUGUGAUGGGAGAUGCCUGAAUGGACAGGCUUUCGGACGCGGGUUCGAUUCCCGCCAGGUCCA